UACGAAGGGUGCAAGCGUUACUCGGAAUUACUGGGCGUAAAGGGUGCGCAGGCGGUGAGCUGUGUCCGAUGUGAAAGCCCCGGGCUUAACCUGGGAAUGGCAUUGGAAACUGGCUCGCUGGAGUGUGGCAGAGGGGGGUGGAAUUCCGCGUGUAGCAGUGAAAUGCGUAGAGAUGCGGAGGAACACCGAUGGCGAAGGCAGCCCCCUGGGCUAACACUGACGCUCAGGCACGAAAGCGUGGGGAGCAAACAGG
This 253-nucleotide ribosomal RNA is filed under the name uncultured bacterium. Its description in RNAcentral is "partial 16S ribosomal RNA". It matches the Rfam family "Bacterial small subunit ribosomal RNA", at positions 524 to 776 of the family's 1533-position model. The record is from RNAcentral.